RNAcentral lists this ribosomal RNA (501 nucleotides) under Lodderomyces elongisporus. Its description in RNAcentral is "eukaryotic LSU rRNA". The stretch from base 161 to 314 matches the Rfam family "5.8S ribosomal RNA". The record is from RNAcentral. Lineage: Eukaryota; Fungi; Ascomycota; Pichiomycetes; Serinales; Debaryomycetaceae.
UUGUGCUUAACUGCACUUUUCUUAUCUACACACGUGUUUUUGUUUUAUUCUUAAAACUUGCUUUGGCAGUGGCUGCUUAAUUGCUCUGCUGCCAGAGGAUAAACUCAACCUAAAUUUUUUAUUUUAAACUAGUCAACUGAUUAUAUUUAUUAAUAGUCAAAACUUUCAACAACGGAUCUCUUGGUUCUCGCAUCGAUGAAGAACGCAGCGAAAUGCGAUAAGUAAUAUGAAUUGCAGAUAUUCGUGAAUCAUCGAAUCUUUGAACGCACAUUGCGCCCUCUGGUAUUCCGGAGGGCAUGCCUGUUUGAGCGUCAUUUCUCCCUCAAACCCCCGGGUUUGGUGAUGAGCAAUACGCCAGGUUUGCUUGAAAGUUAGGAGGAGUAUUUAUAACAAUGUAUUAGGUCUAACCACUCCAUUGUGCUUAAUAAAAGCUCCAAUCUAUAUUUCAAACUUCGACCUCAAAUCAGGUAGGAUUACCCGCUGAACUUAAGCAUAUCAAUA